RNAcentral lists this long non-coding RNA (485 nucleotides) under Medicago truncatula (barrel medic). RNAcentral describes it as "long non-coding RNA (MTRU_LNC002746)". Lineage: Eukaryota; Viridiplantae; Streptophyta; Magnoliopsida; Fabales; Fabaceae. The record is from RNAcentral.
CUCUAACAUAAAUUAACAUUUUUAAUUAAUUACACAAAAUUACCUAAAACCCCUUAUCUAAAUUAAAGUUUCACAUUUGUUUUUUUUUUAUAUUCUCAUUUUUUUCCUAUUUUUCUUUCUUUGAGAAAUUCCUUCAAAAUAAUAAAAGAGUUUAAUUGUGGUGGGUCGACAUUCCAAAACUGUUUUGCAUAAACAACCAAUCAAAACAUUCUGAAUUGCCAUGUUUGACCCACGUUAAUUAAAAAAUAUUAAUUGAUGUGGCAAUUCAGAAUGUUUUGUCCGAGCUGAUGGUGUUGUCCGAGCUCCUUCAGAAUUCUCAAUAACUUUAGGAUUCUGAAAAGGGCAUAAACAUUAGUCCAGGCAAAAACCAUGCACCAAAACAUGUCCAAAAGUAAUCAGGAGAAAUAGAGCCUUACCUUUCCCUCCAUUAAAGAAACACAUGAAUUGGUAGUACCCAAAUCAAUUCCAAUAACAUCACUACCAGC